RNAcentral lists this ribosomal RNA (440 nucleotides) under uncultured bacterium. Its description in RNAcentral is "bacterial SSU rRNA". It matches the Rfam family "Bacterial small subunit ribosomal RNA", at positions 338 to 795 of the family's 1533-position model. The record is from RNAcentral.
CCUACGGGUGGCUGCAGUGGGGAAUAUUGGACAAUGGGCGAAAGCCUGAUCCAGCAAUGCCGCGUGAGUGAUGAAGGCCUUAGGGUUGUAAAGCUCUUUUACCAGGGAUGAUAAUGACAGUACCUGGAGAAUAAGCUCCGGCUAACUCCGUGCCAGCAGCCGCGGUAAUACGGAGGGAGCUAGCGUUGUUCGGAAUUACUGGGCGUAAAGCGUGCGUAGGCGGUGAUUCAAGUCAGAGGUGAAAGCCUGGAGCUCAACUCCAGAACUGCCUUUGAAACUAGAUCGCUAGAAUUAUGGAGAGGUAAGUGGAAUUCCGAGUGUAGAGGUGAAAUUCGUAGAUAUUCGGAAGAACACCAGUGGCGAAGGCGACUUACUGGACAUAUAUUGACGCUGAGGUACGAAAGCGUGGGGAGCAAACAGGAUUAGAUACCCAUGUAGUC